UACAGAGGUGUCAAGCGUUGCUCGGUAUCACUGGGCUUAAAGGGCGCGUAGGCUGUGCGGUACGGUUCGGGUGAAAUCCCUCGGCUCAACCGAGGAACUGCCCGGGCGACGGCCGUGCUGGACUGCAUCAGGGGACGAUGGAACUCCCGGUGGAGCGGUGAAAUGCGCAGAUAUCGGGAAGAACACCCGUGGCGAAGGCGGCUCUCUGGGACGGUACUGACGCUGAGACGCGAAAGCGUGGGGAGCGAACAGG
RNAcentral lists this ribosomal RNA (253 nucleotides) under uncultured bacterium. RNAcentral describes it as "partial 16S ribosomal RNA". It matches the Rfam family "Bacterial small subunit ribosomal RNA", at positions 524 to 776 of the family's 1533-position model. The record is from RNAcentral.